This 460-nucleotide ribosomal RNA is filed under the name uncultured bacterium. RNAcentral's name for it is "partial 16S ribosomal RNA". It matches the Rfam family "Bacterial small subunit ribosomal RNA", at positions 338 to 795 of the family's 1533-position model. The record is from RNAcentral.
CCUACGGGUGGCAGCAGUGAGGAAUAUUGGUCAAUGGACGAGAGGCUGAACCAGCCAAGUAGCGUGAAGGAUGACUGCCCUAUGGGUUGUAAACCUCUUUUAUAAAGGAAUAAAACGAGGCACGUGUGCCUUUUUGCAUGUACUUUAUGAAUAAGGAUCGGCUAACUCCGUGCCAGCAGCCGCGGUAAUACGGAGGAUCCGAGCGUUAUCCGGAUUUAUUGGGUUUAAAGGGAGCGUAGAUGGGUUGUUAAGUCAGUUGUGAAAGUUUGGGGCUCAACCGUAAAAUUGCAGUUGAUACUGGCAGUCUUGAGUACAGUUGAGGUAAGCGGAAUGCGUGGUGUAGCGGUGAAAUGCUUAGAUAUCACGAAGAACCCCGAUUGCGAAGGCAGCUUACUAGACUGUGACUGACAUUGAUGCUCGAAAGUGUGGGUAUCAAACAGGAUUAGAUACCCGAGUAGUC